UACGAUCUGUGUAUUUGGGUUGAGGGAAGUCUUUACAGGAGUUAAGGGUAUGGUAAGACCUUGAAAGACAAAGCAUCUCACCAGGCAGAGAUGGGAGGGAUUCCAGGCCCAACUGUGAACAUGAGGGGAAAACAGCUAAAGAGCAGAAAAGCAAAGUACCCAAAGUCCACUUAUGUUCUGUUAAACCUUUCAGGAAAAGUGGUGGGAUGGCCAGCUUCAUCUUUGAGAAAGCCCCUUUCUUCGGUUCACUGGUGGUCCUCACAUUAUGGCACCACAGGGACGAGGCUCCCAGACCCUCUGCCAUCCUUUACCACCUCAUCCCCUUUCUCUGCAGCAGGAAGAAGAGCAAUGCUUCCCCAACUCUACAGGUCCCCUCCUUGCUUGACCUGCCCUCCAGGACCCCCCUACACCCAGCCUUUCGAUGGAAGCGGGCCGAGAUGCAGGCCCCGACGAGGGGAAGGUGUCCCCUAGGAAGAAAGGAGUCUGAAGAGAGGUGAUGGAGUAGGGCAGCCACAUUUGGGGAAAACUCCUGGAGAAUCAAUGAGAGUUGAUGAGAGGAAGAGGAGGCCACAGCAGGAAGGCCUCCUAGUUAACACUGAGAAAUCUGCGGUCACUGGAGGGCAGAGCCUCAGGUGGUUACAGAGUGAGUCUGAACACAACAGAACCUUUCUUGUUGCAGAGGACUUCAGAGGGACCGGCCCCACCCUGGCACCGGCACCAGGGAGGCGCUGGCACAUGCUGAACAGGACUUACAGAAAGACCAUUCACAGAGCAGGUGGUUUUCAGCUUUAACUGCUCUUAAUGCCCCUGACUUUUAGGGCUCUAGUUGUUAGAAAUGUAACUGUGUGUGGUGGGGUAUCCCUAGUUCCCCCCCUCACUCACUAGUGAAGAUGUACCUCCACUGCCAUUAUUAAUGAAAUCCAAGGAACAGGGAAGUUAUAAUGAAUGACUGAUUAUAAGGGUAAAAUUCCCCUCAUUGAUCAUCAAAAAAUAAGGUAUUUAACCACUCCUGCUCUUUGCUGUACUAUACAAACUGGGGUAUUUGUUACUCAUUUCAUUCAGUUCACUUACUUGAGCAGAGGUCCAUGAACAUAAGCCAGAGUUUGUUUUGGGCUCUCAAAACUGCCAGGGAAAUAUAUAAAAUGAGUGAAUUUCCAAAUGAUGUCCAUCUCAGUGAUGGCAGAGGACCCAUAUUAUUACAUAAUUUAUAAAUAAACUAUUAAACUAAGCUAAUUAUCUUUUGACAUUGCUAAUACAAUUAUUUGUCUCCCAACCUAGGAAAUUUACAUUAGGCCCAAUGCCACUAACAAGGAGACUCUCCCCGGCCUGUUUUACUUGUAUCCAGAGAAGAACCUGGCACGUAAGGGGCACUCGGUUGUUUGAUCAGGACUGGGAUGUACUUGGUACUAGUCAGCUAGACCUCAUACAACCUUUUAUAGAUGCCAAAGCCACAUUCGACAUACAUACAGAUUCUGUAUGGGAAAAAGUUGUUUCAGCAACCUUCAAAGUUAAUAAUAAAAAGAAAACUGCUACUUAGAGGCAUAUGAAACAAAAUUCAUUUUAAUCUGUGU
This is a non-coding RNA of Vicugna pacos (alpaca), 1571 nucleotides long. Lineage: Eukaryota; Metazoa; Chordata; Mammalia; Artiodactyla; Camelidae. The record is from RefSeq and is a predicted model, not a curated record.